GUUACUUCAACGUUUUGUAAUAGCCCGUGGCCGUUCGAUUUCCCCUUCGCGCCAAAAAUAAAAUUGGACAAUUCACUAGUGCUUGUAAUGAUAUUGGCGAUACUCGACUCGCGUCUCGUAUCUGUUCGCUAAUGAUCCUUCCGCAGGUUCACCUACGGAAA
RNAcentral lists this unclassified non-coding RNA (161 nucleotides) under uncultured fungus. Its description in RNAcentral is "sequence contains ITS1". The record is from RNAcentral. Lineage: Eukaryota; Fungi.